Long non-coding RNA from Malaclemys terrapin pileata, 3548 nucleotides. RefSeq lists it as uncharacterized. NCBI's taxonomy places the organism in Eukaryota, Metazoa, Chordata, Testudines, Emydidae. The record is from RefSeq and is a predicted model, not a curated record. The transcript has 3 exons.
GGAUGCUGUAGGAAACCCUCAGAAAAAGGUCAAGAUCAUUGCAGUACUGCAAGGCCUGCUGAGAAACCAUGUGCACAAGAACCCAUGCCCAGAUUCACCACUUGAUUUCUGCAGGAGCUAGGCAGUGGACAUGUAAAGAGUGUUCUGAUUAAAGCCGUAAAUGCGAAGGACCUGGCUACACUCCUUGAGCCCAGACUUGUUGAAAUCUGCCCUCAAGACUUCUAGGCACUGUCUAAGGCUCCAACCAUCCCAUCUUAAACUGGUAAGUGGUCAGGAGUUUGGUGUGGGCAGUCCUGAGGUAUGGCAUGUACUUGCCCCUGAAACCCAUCUCUGUCAAUGUCUCCCCAUCCUUCAAAAAUACCCUUACCCUUUUAAUUGCAAAGGCCUGCAUGAGUGUAUUCACUUGUUGGCCCUAGAGGGGUUGCCUUUCCUUACUCCCUACCCGCUGCUCUUUCUUUACCCUUUUGCUCAGAUCCCUUUGGCUGGGUUUGUUAAAGCUUUAAGAGGGUGGCUUUUCAUUUUAACUGGUUGGAAAUUAUUCCAUCACGGAGCAUCCCAAGCACUUCAUCAGGUUGAUGCUUAUGAAGAGCUGGGACCAGUUCCCCAUCUGGUGUAGAAGAGCACUGAGCUGUGCGGAUUUACACCAGCUGAGGAUCUGGCUUAUUAUCCUUCUAAACAUUAAGGCCUCAAUUAAGGUUAUUCAGCAAAGCAGGAGCUUAGUGAUGGACUCCAGUAAAAUGUUUCAGUACAUGCUUAAUUGGGGCCUAUAUUUAGCAGCAUUCUUGGGGUUAAUUAGGCCCUUGUAUGCUAUUGCUGGCUCUGAUUAUUCUCCUUCCUCUCCCCACCUCCCCAGGUAAGAAAACCCAUGCAGGGGGCGAGGGAGGCCGUCUCUUGAGGAGAAGAAUCUGGCCUGUGCUGUAUGGUGUGGGAGGAGGCAAGGUGGUGGUGGUGUGUGUGUGUGUGUCUCUCCUUCAAAAACUGCCUAGAGGAUACAAUGUGCUGAAUUUGCCAUUUUUUAAUAUUCCCUGUUUAUCCCUUCAGUAUCCGCAUGUGUGCAAUCUUCAUCUGUAUUUUACACUGUUGUGCCUUUAUUACAAUAGCGAUACAUUUCAGAUCCCUGAACUCAGAGCUGCUUGCUACACCCUGAUGACGCCUCAGGAAUUUCAGUCUCUAGAGGCCAUGUUAUAUCUUCCUCCUGAAAAAAAUCCACCAACUUUGUGGCUUCCGUUGAUUACGUUUUGCCUAGAGUUCCCCAUAGGGGAAAAAUUUAUAUUCUACUGGCACAUGCAACUUAAAAAGCCAUUUAGCUAAAUGGAAGGAUCUCUAAUGCAGAUUUGUUGGACUGGCGCUUCCUCUGGGAUAUCCUAUCGCAUAUACAAAAUGUAACCAGAUAUAACUAGACAAAUUCAAUCACGCAACAGAAACUGGAUUGCUUGCUUAAAAUUGCAGCACUAGUCUAGCCAACAGAGGUCAGUGCAAACUAAAUAAAAGGUCUUUCAAUGCCGCUUUCUCCUAUAUAACCGGUCACGGCCCUGGAGAGAGAUUGAAUGAACUAACCGGGUAGUGGCUGUUCAAACUUCCUUGCUCCUUUCCCCUACGAGGUGUUUCAUCCCUGAUCAAAAGAGAGCACCUCAGAGUGAGAUGGAAAUUAACUCUUUCUUUGGCCUCUUUGCUGAGCGUUAUUGGCCUUCCCACCACUUGGCAAAUAUCCAUCAUCAGCACCAGCUCAGCAAUGCUCCACUCCAUUCCUGUGCUACAGAACCACUCAGCAGGGGAAAUGGCUUCUUCCUGAAACAUUCGCUUUGGCUUGGUUACACGGGGAAUGGCUAGUGAUCGCUUUGUCCUUGUGAGAUGCAUUACUCGCGGAUAGGAGCAGGAGGUCACUAGAUCUUCCAUACAAUCCCUCCACCCUCAUCUUUCCACCACUCUCCUAAUAGCACAGCUGAACAUACCUGCUCUCUGUACUGCAUUCCUCAAAUCGGAGACAUCCAGGAAUCCAGAACCGGUUCCCUCUACCCUCCUGAAAAUGUCCUGGAAACCAUUUUGAAAGAGUUCAGCUUCUUAUUUUUAAGCCAACGUCAGUGGACCAAACUUGUGCUAUGACCUAGCAUGUUGACCACUUGCCAAUGCAUUUCACUUUCUCCUUAAUGAAUUAGCUUAGUGGAAACUCAGUGCAACGUCGGAUAGGGGGACUAGAAUAAGAAAGACAACUUUCCAGAAAGAAGAGCUGGGUGAUCCUUGCUCCUGGACUGAGGGGGCUUACUGAUGGGGGGGCAGUGAGGGAUUGAUGUUAAUGCUCCUUCAGAGCAUUGGCCUGGCUUAGUGCACUGAGACAAAGGGAGAAAGAAGACAGAGGGGAGCAGUGAUCACCUUGGAAUAUCCCCCUGCCAACGAAGGCAUUGAUGUGGAAGUGCAGGGUAAACAUGUCUGAAUGGUUAUAGAGUUGUGACCUUUCGUGUAUAUCCCCUGCACUGUUUUACUUAUUCAGACCAAAGCUUGUAUCUCCAUGACUCUGCCAACAGAAAGAGCCCAUCAUCUGAAAGAAGAGUUGCAGAACUCAUUUCUAUGGCACUAGGUGGGAUGACAUCCUUCGGUACACUCCAUAUUCUAAAUACAAUAGGCUAUGUACUCAGCUCCAUUGACUUUAAUAGGGCUAUGCCCAUUUAUCCAACAGAUGAGGAUCUGGUCCAGUAUGUUUAGCUUGGCAAAAACCAUCCUGUGAGAUACUAACCACCACCAAAUGGUGGUAGGAUGUAAAUGGCAAGAAUGGAGAACAGUUGUUCAGGAUAGCCCAAACAGAUCUAAUAGGUGAAACCAAGGAACAUUGACUGUGCCAGAAUAUUUUUCCUAAUUCUGGGGUCCCUUUCUCUGUCCUAGAGUCUCUUAAAGGAAGUGGGGGAGGGGGAGAAGGAGCCCUGUUACAGUAUUUGCAUUAUUUAGAGAAGAUAAUGGAAAACCAAAGUCUGUAUUGGCCAGGGAGCAUGGCCUUUCCAUUGAUUGUAUUAUCUGGUGCAAUGUGACUGGCUGCCAUGAAAUAGGGCAAUAGCCUUUCACAGAAACAUGUGGUGGAUAAUAGGACGACAAAUAGGUAAUCCAAUCUAAGUGCUUGUACUCUUCAGGAAUACUCACCAUCUUGCCACUGCAUAUGAGCAACCACCGUCCCAUUGACCUGUGGGAUUAUUCCUGGAUAUGUAAGUGCAGGACUGGGACCUAACACCUUCUCUAACCUAUUCCUCAGGAUCUGUCAUAAGAGCAGAGCACUUAGUCCUUGGCAGACCUGUUCUUACCAUUCAGAACAUUUGAUGGGGGCCUCUCAAUCCAAUAUUUGAGCUCCCUACUUUUGAAUGAUAAGUCAGGUGCUUUAUCGUCCGAGCCUUUGUUGUGGUCUUUCCCCUGCACUAUUUUAAUUUCAUAGUGUCUGCAUCCCCUUGAUUAAAAAUGCAGCACUAGCUAAGAAAAUGGGUUCCUGACAGCUCACGUGUACCUUGUACUGAGCAAGGAGUUUCCAGAGGUGCUUAAAUUCUUGCAGGGAGAGUCUUCCAUUAGAC